Molecule: ribosomal RNA, 2724 nt
Filed under: Triticum aestivum (bread wheat)
Lineage: Eukaryota; Viridiplantae; Streptophyta; Magnoliopsida; Poales; Poaceae
Description: partial small subunit ribosomal RNA
Source: RNAcentral
AUGGCGGCGCCUGCUGCUCUUGACGUUAGCCUCGAGAGGGUAGCUACGGCACCGGCCGUUCCACGACCCGGCAUCGGCGUCGACAGUGCCACCGCGGAGGCGGAGUUCCUCUGGGAGCUGCGCAAGUACGUGCUGCUCCUCGCCACGCUCGCGGCCUCCGUCACCUACUCCGCGGGGCUGAGUCCGCCAGGCGGGUUUUGGCCCGACAACGGCGCCGACGGAGGCGCGCGUCUCGCCGGCGACCCGGUGCUCCUCGUCACCUACCCGCGCCGAUACAAGGCCUUCUUCUACUGCAACGCCACCGCCUUCGUCGCCUCCCUCGUCAUCGUCAACCUCCUGCUCGUCCGCUCGCUCGGCCACCGCCGGCGGUGGCUGCGCGCGCUCCAGGCCGCCAUGCUGCUCGACCAGUUCGGUCUCAUGGGGGCCUACGCCGCGGGCAGCUGCAGGGACGCGGCCAUGUCCGCCUACGUCUUCGUUCUCGUCGCCUUGGUUGGCUGCUACGUCUCCGCCCACGUCCUCGUCUUCGUGCUCUUCGCCCCGACAGCGCGCGGCGACAAGGUCACGCCGGCCGACAGAGUGGAGCGCGCGCGCAAGUACCUGCUCAUCUUCGCGACGCUGGCGGCGACCAUCACGUACCAGGCCGGUGUCAGCACGCCGGGCGGGUUCUGGCCGGGCAGCCAGGACAGCGACCACCUGGCCGGCGACCCCAUGCUCCGCGUCCAGCACCCGUCCCGCUUCAUGGUCUUCUUCUACUCCAACACCACCGCGUUUGUCGCGUCGCUGGUCGUCGUCAUGCUGCUCAUGAGCAACACCGUGACGCAGCACGGGUUCCGGUCAUGCGCACUCUGGGUGUGCACGGGCGCGGCCAUGGUGGGGCUCAUGGGCGCCUUCGCCUCCGGGAGCUGCCGGAGCCUCAAGACCUCCAUGUACGUCGUCGCGCUGGUGGCCGCCGUUCUCCUCUACAUCGCCAUUCAGGCACUCGUCUUCUUGUGCGAGCCCGUGAAGAAUUUGAUCCACGACUGGCAACAAGCACUUGACAGGUACCUCAACAAAUUUGAGAGAUUGGACUUGGAGCAGCAAAAUCAGCAGCAAAGCAGAGCAUCCGAGCACGGCAAUGACGACGCGUACCAGAUUCUGAGGAAGUCGCGGAUGUAUCUGCUGCUCCUCGGGAUUCUUGCGGCGAGCGUCACAUACCAAGCCGGACUGAACCCGCCGGGCGGCUUCUGGCAAGGCGAUGCAGCCGCCGACAGUCGCCACCACUACCUCGCCGGCGACCCGAUCCUCCACAUCACGUAUCCCCGGCGAUACCUGGCCUUCUUCUACUGCAAUGCUACCGCCUUCGUCGCGUCGCUCGUCAUCCUCAUACUCCUGCUGAGCAACAUACUCAGCACCCAGGGGAUCAAGUACUGCGCGUUGCAGGUCGCCAUGAUCCUGGACCUGUUUGGCCUGAUCGGCGCCUACGCCGCCGGGAGCUGCCGGCAAGUGUCCAAAUCCGUGUACGUCUCCCUGCUCGUCGUUCCGGUGUUCCUCUACGUCGGCAUCCACGUCGUGGUCUUCAUGUUAGAAGUGUGGCCGGCUCGCCCGGCAUGGAUCCAAGCGUUGAGUGAGAAGAUGGAGCAGUGCGCACCCAGCUGGCUCAAGGAGCUGUUCGAGCACCCCGAGCAGGGGGAGGAGGAGGCGGACGUCGAACGGACACUGGAGAAGAGGCGGAAGCUUCUGCUGCUUCUUGCAAUCCUUGCGGCGAGCCUCACCUACCAAGCUGGCAUGGGCCCGCCGGGCGGCUUCUGGCAAGAGAGCAAGCUCGGCCAUGUCGCCGGCGACCCGGUGCUCAACGACAACUACCCGCGCCGCUACGUGGCCUUCUUCUACUGCAACGCGACGGCCUUCGUCGCGUCCCUUGCCGUCAUCAUGCUGCUGGUGAACAGGAAGCUCUCGGCGAGAGGGAUACGGUCUUACGCACUGCGGGUGUGCGUGAUCCUCGACCUCGUCGGCCUCAUGGGCGCCUUCGCCGCCGGCAGCUGCCGGAAGGUGUCGACCUCGAUCUACGUCCUCGUUCUGACAUUCGCAGUUCUACUCUGCAUCGCUCUCCAGGUCACGCUGGUCUUGUCGGAGACAGCGCGAGGACUUGCGAAGAGGCUCCUGUCAAAGCUCGGCGCGGUCGAAGACCAAGCCGGAGGCGACGGGCGGCAUGACACGGCCGUCGCCGCCGGAGGGACGCGUGAUCUCUGGGACGAGAAGCUGCCCAAAUACCUGCUGCUGCUCGCGGCGCUCGCUGCCGCCGUCACGUACCAGGCCGCGAUGAGCCCGCCGGGCGGCCUCUGGGGCGACGUCGUCUCGACCGGCCACAUCGCCGGCGAUCCGGUUCUCGCGAGCAACUACCCCCGCCGGUACAAGGCCUUCUUCUACUGCAACGCGACGUCCUUCAUGGCGUCCCUGGUGAUCAUGGUCCUCCUGCUGAUCAAGAGGGUGAGCGACACCCCGCCGGCGCUCUUGGCGCUGCACGCCGCCAUGAUCCUGGACCUGUUUGGACUCAUGGGUGCAUACGCCGCUGGGAGCUGCAGGAGGGUGAGGACGUCUGCCUACGUCCUGGCGCUGGUCGUCGGGGUCUCGGCGUACAUUGCUGUGCUCGUCGUGGCAUCCAUCGGCAUAGCGGGCCGACUGAGAAGCGCAAUGGACUGGCUGACGGAGCAAGUGACACGGUGCUUCUCCGUGCAUGAUAUGUAG